UUGCUGGACCAGCAUUCGCAAGUACUCAGAUUAACCCUCCCUGUUCACCUGCGACAUCCAUUCCAAUUGCCUGCUUGUCUCACCUGCUCCAGCUUGUAAUUUUAUAUAUACCAACAAAUUGGCUGUUCUGGUCUCCAGGGUGUGAUGGAGGAGUAGGAUGGUAGCAAUCGUGGUUGCAGUAGAGGCUCAAGCUGUCUUAGGUUUCGAUUGUUCAGAUGUGGAGCCAAUUCCAGGACGAUGGUCCUCAGCCAGUGAUUGCCAUUGCCUUUUCUGACGCCUUCGGGGAACCGAUUUUCCGGUUUGGUGCAACUCUUGCCAAGGAUGAAUGAAUCCUCGGGCUGUAGAGCUCACAGCCCUUUGUGCCGCAACUUGUACAGUCAUGGCUCACAAAUGCUUGUUGAUACUUCCUGCUUCAGGUUUAGUUUCGAACGUUCUGAUUCACUUCCAGUCAUAGUUGUGUAAAUCCUCAGUUUCUUUCCUUGUUUUUGUAAUAGAGAAACAAUCCUGAUUGUUCUUCAAGCAUAGACCUUUACUUAAGUUGUUAGAAUUCACCUGAAGAUGUCUCAUGCUGGAAGCUUUGGGCAUAGACUUAGUAGCGGUUUAGGGUUUAGUUAGAUAUCUUGGUGCAUUUUCAUCUGGAGUACUGCAGGCAUCGAUGAAAUUGGGUGUUGUAGAGGCAAGCCAAGGACGCCGUCUACAAGGAGCUGCAGUUCACGAAAAGUGCGCUUGAACAACUAUCUCGCUUGGUCGCAUCUUCAGGUACAGAGGCUUCGAGUGGGAUUGAGAAGGUUGAUUGCGCAUGGCUUGAGAAGGUUGAUCCCACUCGAAGUCACUGUACCUGGAGAAGGUCCUUGUCUCCACUCACUGUGACUGCUCUUGAAACAUGAAGGGGGUGUUUAGCAGAGGCUAAAGCUGGUGUUGCCAUGAA
Molecule: non-coding RNA, 928 nt
Organism: Physcomitrium patens
Lineage: Eukaryota; Viridiplantae; Streptophyta; Bryopsida; Funariales; Funariaceae
Source: RefSeq, a predicted model, not a curated record